GCCAAUAAUAGCCCUAUGUACCCAUCUAAACAACUAUAUAAACUAACUAAACAAAACAUUUAACACACCCAAGUAUAGGAGAUAGAACAGAUAACACAGGAGCGAUAACACUA
Molecule: ribosomal RNA, 113 nt
Filed under: Spilocuscus rufoniger (black-spotted cuscus)
Lineage: Eukaryota; Metazoa; Chordata; Mammalia; Diprotodontia; Phalangeridae
Description: partial 16S ribosomal RNA
Source: RNAcentral